This 216-nucleotide ribosomal RNA is filed under the name Campeiostachys nutans. Its description in RNAcentral is "Elymus nutans partial small subunit ribosomal RNA". The stretch from base 41 to 216 matches the Rfam family "Eukaryotic small subunit ribosomal RNA", at positions 686 to 863 of the family's 1831-position model. Lineage: Eukaryota; Viridiplantae; Streptophyta; Magnoliopsida; Poales; Poaceae. The record is from RNAcentral.
GGGUUUUACCGUUGGUCGGGCUAUCCAGUCUGUACUAGCGUGUAGAAUUCCUACCUUCUGGGGAACCAUCAUGUUAUUAAUUUAGCGUGAUGGGAAACCAGGACCUUUACCUUGAAAAAAUUAGAGUGUUCAAAGCAGGCUUACAGUCUGAAUACAUUAGCAUGGAAUAAUAAAAUAGGACGGUGGUCCUGUUUUGUUGGUUUCUGAAUCACCGUA